This 1026-nucleotide long non-coding RNA is filed under the name Coturnix japonica (Japanese quail). RNAcentral's name for it is "lncRNA (ENSCJPG00005021052.1)". The record is from RNAcentral. Lineage: Eukaryota; Metazoa; Chordata; Aves; Galliformes; Phasianidae.
AUGCUGUGGCUUUUCCCAUGCUGUGUCUUGUCCCUGAAGGGCAGCAGUGGGUGUUGCUGCAGGUGUAGCAAAGCUGUUCCUUGGCAAUCUGUGCCAUGCUGUCCCAUCCCACAAUGUUCCAUCCCAUUCCAAGCUGUGCCACACUGUGCCAUCCCCUGCCAUAAGGAGUUGUGUUGUUGUGCCUUCCUGUGUAAUAAGAGGCUGUGCUAUGCUGUUUUCCUCCACUGUGCCAUACCAUGCCAUGCCAUGCCAUUCCAUCCCAUCCUUUUUGAUACCAUACAGUGCCAUAAAAAUGCUAUGAUGAACUGUGCUGUGCCAUGCCGCACCAUCCCAUGCUUUCCCAUCCCAUCUCAUCCCAUGUUGUUCCAUUCCACCCCAUGUGGUGCCAUAUUACAAACCAUGCCAUAUCAUAGUGUGCUAUCCCAUGCCGUGAGGAGUUGUGGCAUUCUGUGCCAUAUUGGGCCUUCCAGGGCUGUUCCAUGCCUUGCUGUGCUGUGCUGUGCCAUCCAUGCUGCGAUUAACCAUGCCAUGCUGUGCUGUUUUCCUGUGCUGUGCUAUGCUGUGCUGUGCACUGAUGAAGCACACUGUGCCAUGCCAUGCCAUGCUGUAACAAACCACGCUGUGCCAUGUCAAGCUGUGCUCUGUGCUACCAUGACAUUCAGUGCCGUGCCAUGCCCCCCAGGCACAAACAGCCCACUGCAGGCUGUGCUCCCUAGGGUGCUGCCCUCUUUAUGGGGUGCCCUCCUUCUCUCUCCCUGGGGACAAGCUGGGGUGCCCCUGGCGAGCUCACAUUGCUGCCUGCAGCCAGCAGGACCCCCCGGUGCCCCCAUACACUGCAUUGCUGUGGCACUCACGCCAUCCCCCACUGCCGACUCUGGGAACAGAUGGCAGGAGGAGGCUCUGGGACACCAUCAGCUGUUGUUAUCGCUAGCUGAUGACACGGAGUGUAAAUUCUGUUGGCACUACUCCCUUCGUCUGUUCUGCCUCUACAUCCCACCAGUUUUAAUUACUGUAAUUGAGUUAUAA